GUUCAUCUGAGCUGUCAAAGCUUUAAUCAAUAGGUGAUAUUAAAACAACACAACAAUCAAAGUUACUUUCAUGUAUGAUUUUAAGACGUAAGUUCAUGUUUAUGUUGGUGAAAUUGAAAUGGACAUGAGACACUUACUCUUGACGGGGUCUCGUAAAUAUGGAAUGCAGUGAAGUAGGGCCAGGUGCCACUGAGUUUGAAUUGUUCUAGGAUUUGUCUUUUUGAUAGUAGGCAAGUUCUUAGUCUUCCUGAAAUUUAGAGUUGCAAAAAAAUGUACAGUAGACUUAUGCUUCUUACUGUUGGUUUUGUUUCUUUGCUAUUCAGCAUCUGAGCAUCCUUUAUCCUCUUUCUGGCAUGUGGGCAUUGGUCCCACUCUGGAACAUAAAAGGCCAAUUCUCCUGCCCUGUUGUAGCUUUAACAGUAGCUGUCAAACCUUGUCGUCCAUGAGGAUCACAUGGAAAGCUUUUAAAAGCAUAGAUUGCUGGGCCACACCCCCUGCGGGGUUUGAGUAUUUACAUCUCUAACAAGUUCCCAGGUGAUGUGCAUGUUGCUGGUUAGGGAUCACACUUUAAGAACCACUGAACGAGCAUGUGAGUACGUGGCUUAGGUCAAACAAGGAGAUGCCUCUGUCUGGACUUGAGACAAUGAUGCAAACACAAGGUCAGCUGGGAGACUCUCUGUGAGUAGAGUAGACACAUCAGCAAUCCAGCUCUGGUGGUGGACAGUGUACGACAGCAGCUAUCGAACAGGUCUGUGCCCUGAGCUUGGCACAGUAAUCCUGGAGCGUGAGUGAACUGGUGAUGGAAAAAUCAACCAUUGGACCAAUAAACACACUCAUAUAGCUUAGGUAUUCUCCAUGUCUUUACCCUGCCUGGCUUGCAGGAAGCACUCGGGAAAUUUUUGAAUGAAUGAACGAAUGAAAGAAAGAUAUUUUCAGUCCUAUUCAUUCGCUGGAACUCUCAAGGAGCAUAAAUUCCUCUCAUUUUGGAGAGGAAAAUUAGAAUCUGAAAAAUCUCUUCUGAGAGCUCGCUUUUUGGUGGUUUUCCUGGUUCCUGUGAGGACCCAUGUGUUUGAAUGAAAUAGCUUGCUGCUGACUGAAUGAUUACUUGUCGUUCUGCUGCUAGUACAUGAAGAAUCUCUCUACACAUGGAACGGUAGGAGCACGUUGCAGUGAAGACUUUGUUAAACAUUCUCCUGGGAAACAUACAUUUUGCGUGAGAAACCAGCAGACAUCCCCUCAAAACGGUCCUUUGACCUCCUGAAAAGACUUCCAUUAUUCCAGUUCACAAAUCAAGACAGGCUAAGCUGUAUCAAGCACUCCUGCUCAUUUGACCCCAAACUUUUGUUGUGGUUUUACUCAAGAGCUAAGACAUGAAAACAUGGAGAGACACAAGUUCUUUUGAAACAGUUAGCAGAGUCUGAGAUGCUACUUGCCAAGUACAAGGUGGAUAUUUAAUUUUUGAAGGUGGUUUGUUUCCUGUAUGUAAACUCUCCACCCUUCAGGGUUGAUUUUGGAAGUCAUGUAAACAGUUCAGAUUUCUCCUUGCCAUUUUCAGGGGUUCAUUUCUGAAGAAUUAAGAAGGGUGUAUUCCCUGUGUGUGUCCUGGGGGUUUCCGUUUCAUCUUCCUUCUCCUUGAACUGUAACGUUAGGCUGUGACCUCCUCUUCUGGUCUUCUUGAGCAUGUCCUGUAUCUCCUCUUCAGAGUCUUCAUGGGUGAGACAGCCUUUGUGCACAAGCUCUGACAGAGGUUCAAGGAGAAAGCUCUCUCUGUUUGGAGAAUGUCCUGUUUGGUGCCAAAAAGAACACAGCCUGGUGUACAGCGAUGAAACACCCUUGUUUGUGUCAGCUCUGCCUUUAAUCUCUUUGAAAAUUGGAAUAUUCACCAAAUCUCUUCAAAGAUCUUUUUCAUUUGUAAAAUGAGGUUAAUUAAACUACACUUUGGUCAGGAUAGGUCUGAUUUUGCAAUGAUAACAAGCAUGCCCCAAAUUUCAGUUGUAUAAAAGGGCAAAGGUUUUUACGCGUUCCACAUGGAUCGGCAGGAGAUCUUGGGUCUGGGUAUUUGCUUAGGGAUUCCGACUCCACACCUCAUCAAAUGCUUCUCAAAGCAGCCAACACGUGCUCCUGGUAUUCAGUUUUUAAACCUCUUCCCGAGACCUUGAGUUUAUUAAGUCCAGCAUUUGCUUCUAAUUUAUUUCAGGUGAGGAGUUACUAAAUGUUUUGCCACUAAAAGGCAGAAUGCCAUCUUUUAGGCCUGCCAUGAACAGUUUCCUCACCAGCCACUGCUUGGUUCCUAAACCAAUGCUAUAUAUUUCAGUUUGGGGCACCAUCCUAAUUAUAUAUGAUAAUUUCUAGAAACAUCAUGUUAGUAUGGAUUAUGCUGUGAUAGCAAAUAACCUCCCCCCAAAAAAGUUAAUGACUUAAAACAAUAAAGGAUUAUUUCUCACUCAAGACACAUUCUCUUAAGCAUUGCUUGGGCAAUUACUCAUUACAGCUCCUCGAGGAUCCAAGUUCAACAAAAUGGAGCCACCACGUCACACAUUGUUGAUUGUUGAUUGCUGCACCAAAGAGUAAAGGGAAUUCCAGGGGGUCUCACACCAGCAAUUAAACACACAGCUUGAGACUUCAUGUGUUUCUUCUACUCAGAACUCAGGGGCAAGAAAAAGUCACAUAUCCCCACCAAACAGACUUACUGUGUGACCAGAAAGGGGGAACUUGCAAAUAUCUGACGAAAAGCACUGAUGACCAGCACAAGCUGGUCCCUUCCACUCAUAAAAUUACACGAUGAUGUUAUUCUUACCAUGGUCCAAGGAACUCUUUGGGUGACAACCCUAGGCCACAG
This is a long non-coding RNA of Equus caballus (horse), 2839 nucleotides long. Lineage: Eukaryota; Metazoa; Chordata; Mammalia; Perissodactyla; Equidae. The record is from Ensembl.